Molecule: long non-coding RNA, 953 nt
Organism: Myotis davidii
Lineage: Eukaryota; Metazoa; Chordata; Mammalia; Chiroptera; Vespertilionidae
Exons: 6
Source: RefSeq, a predicted model, not a curated record
GUUGCUAUAUUUUGUUAGAAAGGAAGGAGAGGCUGUUUCUACAGGUGUCAUAGAAAAAUCAGUGCUGAGCCACGGAUUAUUGGGUCCCAUAGAACCAUGGACACAUGGCAGUGAAAUUCUUCCCAAGGCAGGCGGUGUUCCUAGGUCUGGAAGGAUAAAUCCCAGGGGAAGUGAGCUGCAGAACAUUUUAUGCAUCACUCAUUCUAUUAUGAGCCCUCUGCUGCUCCAUCUCUAUAAGACUGGCUGAACCCACGACAAUAACAAUCGUUUACAAUUAUACUCUAACUUUGGAUCAUCUAGUUAAUACCCUAACUCUGAUUAUUUUGAACACAAUGUCCUAUAAGAAAGACUAUUUGAAUGAUUUUACUGCAUUAGUAAUAAAACAACAGAGAAAAAUGAAACAUUCUGAAUGUACCAUCUGAUGAGCUGACAGUGAAAGAACAGAAACCGAGCAAUAAGACUGCACGGCUACAUUUUCCAGAGCCACCAGCUGGGAGUUAAGUUGACUAAGGUUGUGAAAGCCCAGCCCAUUUGGAUCGCAGCAGGCAUGGCAGCGGAUGACUGAUUGUACCCGCCAGCUGGCUAAUAUCAUAAUUAACAAAGUUGCUACUACGUUGGCAAAGUUUAAUCGAAAAAUUUGCCAGUGAUAUGAUGGCAUUGUCACAAAGAUCACAAGGGACACGGAGCCCACUUCUGCUCAAGGUGGAACGGCAAAGGUGUGUAUGCAAGCGGAGAAAUCGCAAACUUGUUCAGCCAAAGGUUAUGCUUCAUAUCACCCACCAGGGAGGAUCAUUGCUCAUGAAAACUUUUAAAUUUGAUUUUGAAAAUUAUUCAGAAAAAUUUAAGCGAUGCUCUCUUCCAAUGUAAGAAAGAAUAUGCUCUGGAGAUUCUUAUAAUUCAAAGAAAAUGGAUUGGUAGAGCAUUUGAGUUCUCAUGCUGCCAAAAUCCUCUUG